RNAcentral lists this ribosomal RNA (1460 nucleotides) under uncultured organism. RNAcentral's name for it is "SSU rRNA". It matches the Rfam family "Bacterial small subunit ribosomal RNA". The record is from RNAcentral.
UGGCGGCAGGCCUAACACAUGCAAGUCGAGCGGUAGCACAGAGAGCUUGCUCUCGGGUGACGAGCGGCGGACGGGUGAGUAAUGUCUGGGAAACUGCCUGAUGGAGGGGGAUAACUACUGGAAACGGUAGCUAAUACCGCAUAACGUCGCAAGACCAAAGUGGGGGACCUUCGGGCCUCAUGCCAUCAGAUGUGCCCAGAUGGGAUUAGCUAGUAGGUGGGGUAACGGCUCACCUAGGCGACGAUCCCUAGCUGGUCUGAGAGGAUGACCAGCCACACUGGAACUGAGACACGGUCCAGACUCCUACGGGAGGCAGCAGUGGGGAAUAUUGCACAAUGGGCGCAAGCCUGAUGCAGCCAUGCCGCGUGUGUGAAGAAGGCCUUCGGGUUGUAAAGCACUUUCAGCGGGGAGGAAGGCGUUAAGGUUAAUAACCUUGGCGAUUGACGUUACCCGCAGAAGAAGCACCGGCUAACUCCGUGCCAGCAGCCGCGGUAAUACGGAGGGUGCAAGCGUUAAUCGGAAUUACUGGGCGUAAAGCGCACGCAGGCGGUCUGUCAAGUCGGAUGUGAAAUCCCCGGGCUCAACCCUGGGACUUGCAUCGGAAACUGGCAGGCUAGAGUCUUGUAGAGGGGGGUAGAAUUUCAGGUGUAGCGGUGAAAUGCGUAGAGAUCUGGAGGAAUACCGGUGGCGAAGGCGGCCCCCUGGACAAAGACUGACGCUCAGGUGCGAAAGCGUGGGGAGCAAACAGGAUUAGAUACCCUGGUAGUCCACGCCGUAAACGAUGUCGAUUUGGAGGUUGUGCCCUUGAGGCGUGGCUUCCGGAGCUAACGCGUUAAAUCGACCGCCUGGGGAGUACGGCCGCAAGGUUAAAACUCAAAUGAAUUGACGGGGGCCCGCACAAGCGGUGGAGCAUGUGGUUUAAUUCGAUGCAACGCGAAGAACCUUACCUGGUCUUGACAUCCACAGAACUUCCCAGAGAUGGAUUGGUGCCUUCGGGAACUGUGAGACAGGUGCUGCAUGGCUGUCGUCAGCUCGUGUUGUGAAAUGUUGGGUUAAGUCCCGCAACGAGCGCAACCCUUAUCCUUUGUUGCCAGCGGUCCGGCCGGGAACUCAAAGGAGACUGCCAGUGAUAAACUGGAGGAAGGUGGGGAUGACGUCAAGUCAUCAUGGCCCUUACGACCAGGGCUACACACGUGCUACAAUGGCAUAUACAAAGAGAAGCGACCUCGCGAGAGCAAGCGGACCUCAUAAAGUAUGUCGUAGUCCGGAUUGGAGUCUGCAACUCGACUCCAUGAAGUCGGAAUCGCUAGUAAUCGUAGAUCAGAAUGCUACGGUGAAUACGUUCCCGGGCCUUGUACACACCGCCCGUCACACCAUGGGAGUGGGUUGCAAAAGAAGUAGGUAGCUUAACCUUCGGGAGGGCGCUUACCACUUUGUGAUUCAUGACUGGGGUGAAGUCG